GGGUCAGUAGGUUGGUCGUGCCACCGGUACGUACUGGUCUCACUGAUUCCUCCUUCCUGAAGAACCGUAAUGCCACUAAUUUGGUGUUGCGGGGAAACAGGACUGUUACUUUGAAAAGAUUAGAGUGUUUAAAGCAAGCUAACGCUUGAAUACAUUAGCAUGGAAUAAUGAAAUAGGACGAUCGAUCCUAUUUUGUUGGUUUCUAGGAUUGACGUA
Molecule: ribosomal RNA, 216 nt
Filed under: Glomeromycotina sp.
Lineage: Eukaryota; Fungi; Glomeromycota
Description: partial small subunit ribosomal RNA
Rfam family: Eukaryotic small subunit ribosomal RNA (bases 87-216)
Source: RNAcentral